UUGAGAAGUUGUUACGUUUCAGACCACCUUGCAAAACAGAGUCAAACUGGGCCUUCGGCACGCGCUCACCAGCCCGAGAGCCAGGUGGCCAAGGCCGUCCCGCCGCCCAGCGAGUCCCCAAAGGAACCCUCCGGCCGUCAGUCCGUUCCCCGGCGGCCCGCCGAAGCAACAUUUAAAAUAUACACAAAGGGUGGGAGAUCGACGCCUCGCGGCAUUCAUUCUCUGUAAUGAUCCUUCCGCAGGUUCACCUACGGAAA
Molecule: unclassified non-coding RNA, 257 nt
Filed under: uncultured fungus
Lineage: Eukaryota; Fungi
Description: sequence contains ITS1
Source: RNAcentral